This 65-nucleotide transfer RNA is filed under the name Neope ramosa. RNAcentral's name for it is "tRNA-Ile". The record is from RNAcentral. Lineage: Eukaryota; Metazoa; Arthropoda; Insecta; Lepidoptera; Nymphalidae.
AAUAAAGUGCCUGAUAAAAAGGAUUAUUCUGAUAGAAUAAAUUAUGUAAUAUUUUACCUUUAUUA